RNAcentral lists this ribosomal RNA (1703 nucleotides) under Aaaba fossicollis. RNAcentral's name for it is "SSU rRNA". It matches the Rfam family "Eukaryotic small subunit ribosomal RNA", at positions 68 to 1662 of the family's 1831-position model. Lineage: Eukaryota; Metazoa; Arthropoda; Insecta; Coleoptera; Buprestidae. The record is from RNAcentral.
AGCCGAAUUAAGGUGAAACCGCGAAAGGCUCAUUAAAUCAGUUAUGGUUCCUUAGAUCGUACCCACAUUUACUUGGAUAACUGUGGUAAUUCUAGAGCUAAUACAUGCAAACAGAGCUCCGACCGGACACGGAAGGAGCGCUUUUAUUAGAUCAAAACCAAUCGGCGGCGGGUUCCGCUCGUCGUCGUACCCACUGGUGAAUCUGAAUAACUUUCUGCUGAUCGCACGGUCUCGCACCGGCGACGCAUCUUUCAAAUGUCUGCCUUAUCAACUGUCGAUGGUAGGUUCUGCGCCUACCAUGGUUGUAACGGGUAACGGGGAAUCAGGGUUCGAUUCCGGAGAGGGAGCCUGAGAAACGGCUACCACAUCCAAGGAAGGCAGCAGGCGCGCAAAUUACCCACUCCCGGCACGGGGAGGUAGUGACGAAAAAUAACGAUACGGGACUCAUCCGAGGCCCCGUAAUCGGAAUGAGUACAAUCUAAACCCUUUAACGAGGAUCAAUUGGAGGGUAAGUCUGGUGCCAGCAGCCGCGGUAAUUCCAGCUCCAAUAGCGUAUAUUAAAGUUGUUGCGGUUAAAAAGCUCGUAGUCGAAUCUGUGUCCCGCGCCGCCGGUUCACCGCCACGCGGUGUUUAACUGGCGUGUCCGCGGGACGUCCUGCCGGUGGGCUUCACCGACGCCCCGCGAGGGCGCCCGGCAGCCCAACUCAAUCCCACCGCGGUGCUCUUCACUGAGUGUCGAGGUGGGCCGGCACGUUUACUUUGAACAAAUUAGAGUGCUUAAAGCAGGCUAAAACUUCGCCUGAAUACCGUGUGCAUGGAAUAAUGGAAUAGGACCUCGGUUCUAUUUUGUUGGUUUUCGGAACCCCGAGGUAAUGAUUAAUAGGAACGGAUGGGGGCAUUCGUAUUGCGACGUUAGAGGUGAAAUUCUUGGAUCGUCGCAAGACGAACAGAAGCGAAAGCAUUUGCCAAAAACGUUUUCAUUGAUCAAGAACGAAAGUUAGAGGUUCGAAGGCGAUCAGAUACCGCCCUAGUUCUAACCAUAAACGAUGCCAGCUAGCGAUCCGCCGGCGUUCCUUCGAUGACCCGGCGGGCAGCUUCCGGGAAACCAAAGCUUUUGGGUUCCGGGGGAAGUAUGGUUGCAAAGCUGAAACUUAAAGGAAUUGACGGAAGGGCACCACCAGGAGUGGAGCCUGCGGCUUAAUUUGACUCAACACGGGAAACCUCACCAGGCCCGGACACCGGAAGGAUUGACAGAUUGAGAGCUCUUUCUUGAUUCGGUGGGUGGUGGUGCAUGGCCGUUCUUCGUUGGUGGAGCGAUUUGUCUGGUUAAUUCCGAUAACGAACGAGACUCUAGCCUGCUAAAUAGGCGUAUUUCCGGCAUCUCAAAGGCCCGCCGGUCCGGCGUUCGCGUCGCGGCCGCGCGCGGUUUUUACUGCCGGCGUACACACAAUUCUUCUUAGAGGGACAGGCGGCUUCUAGCCGCACGAGAUUGAGCAAUAACAGGUCUGUGAUGCCCUUAGAUGUUCUGGGCCGCACGCGCGCUACACUGAAGGAAUCAGCGUGUCCUCCCUGGCCGAGAGGCCCGGGUAACCCGCUGAACCUCCUUCGUGCUAGGGAUUGGGGCUUGCAAUUGUUCCCCAUGAACGAGGAAUUCCCAGUAAGCGCGUGUCAUAAGCUCGCGUUGAUUACGUCCCUGCCCUUUG